UUGGAGGGCAAGUCUGGUGCCAGCAGCCGCGGUAAUUCCAGCUCCAAUAGCGUAUAUUAAAGUUGUUGCAGUUAAAAAGCUCGUAGUUGAAUUUCGGGAUCAAUAUAUCGGUCGUGCCUUGGUACGUACUGGUAUCAUUGGUUUCUCCUUUCUGACGAACCAUGAUGUCAUUAAUUUGGUGUUAUGGGAAGUUAGGACUGUUACUUUGAAAAAAUUAGAGUGUUUAAAGCAGGCUUUAGCUUGAAUACAUUAGCAUGGAAUAAUGAAAUAGGACGUUCGAACCUAUUUUGUUGGUUUCUAGGAUCAACGUAAUGAUUAAUAGGGAUAGUUGGGGGCAUUAGUAUUCAAUUGUCAGAGGUGAAAUUCUUGGAUUUAUUGAAGACUAACUACUGCGAGAGCAUUUGCCAAGGAUGUUUUCAUUAAUCAAGAACGAAAGUUAGGGGAUCGAAGGCGAUCAGAUACCGUCGUAGUCUUAACCAUAAACUAUGCCGACUAGGGAUCGGAUGAUGUUAAUUUUUUAAUGACUCAUUCGGCGCCUUACGGGAAAC
Molecule: ribosomal RNA, 548 nt
Filed under: uncultured Glomeromycotina
Lineage: Eukaryota; Fungi; Glomeromycota
Description: SSU rRNA
Rfam family: Eukaryotic small subunit ribosomal RNA
Source: RNAcentral